AAGAGUAUUGCUCAAGUGGUAGAACGCAUGUUUAGCAGGCAUGAGGUCCUGGGUUCAGUCCCCAGUACUUUCC
RNAcentral lists this transfer RNA (73 nucleotides) under Camelus bactrianus (Bactrian camel). It matches the Rfam family "tRNA". From Rfam's summary of the family: Transfer RNA (tRNA) molecules are approximately 80 nucleotides in length. Their secondary structure includes four short double-helical elements and three loops (D, anti-codon, and T loops). The record is from Rfam by way of RNAcentral. RNAcentral also lists the same sequence under 3 other names. Lineage: Eukaryota; Metazoa; Chordata; Mammalia; Artiodactyla; Camelidae.